RNAcentral lists this ribosomal RNA (441 nucleotides) under uncultured bacterium. Its description in RNAcentral is "partial 16S ribosomal RNA". It matches the Rfam family "Bacterial small subunit ribosomal RNA", at positions 338 to 795 of the family's 1533-position model. The record is from RNAcentral.
ACUACGGGAGGCAGCAGUGGGGAAUAUUGCACAAUGGGGGAAACCCUGAUGCAGCGACGCCGCGUGAGUGAAGAAGUAUUUCGGUAUGUAAAGCUCUAUCAGCAGGGAAGAAAAAAGACGGUACCUGACUAAGAAGCCCCGGCUAACUACGUGCCAGCAGCCGCGGUAAUACGUAGGGGGCAAGCGUUAUCCGGAUUUACUGGGUGGAAAGGGAGCGUAGACGGUAUGGCAAGUCUGAAGUGAAAGCCCAGGGCUUAACCCUGGGACUGCUUUGGAAACUGUUAGACUAGAGUGCUGGAGAGGUAAGUGGAAUUCCUAGUGUAGCGGUGAAAUGCGUAGAGAUUAGGAGGAACACCAGUGGCGAAGGCGGCUUACUGGACAGUAACUGACGUUGAGGCUCGAAAGCGUGGGGAGCAAACAGGAUUAGAUACCCCUGUAGUC